GAGUUUGUAUCCUGGCUCAGGACGAACGCUGGCGGCGCGCCUACACAUGCAAGUCGAACGGAGAUUAUAGCGGAAGUUUCGGAUGGAAGCUUGUAAACUUAGUGGCGGACGGGUGAGUAACACGUGAGCAACCUGCCUAUCAGAGGGGGAUAACGGAUUGGAAACGAUCGCUAAUACCGCAUGACAUAGCGGAACCGCAUGGUUCUGUUAUCAAAGAUUUU
This 221-nucleotide ribosomal RNA is filed under the name uncultured bacterium. Its description in RNAcentral is "partial 16S ribosomal RNA". It matches the Rfam family "Bacterial small subunit ribosomal RNA", at positions 9 to 211 of the family's 1533-position model. The record is from RNAcentral.